Hyposmocoma kahamanoa is the source of this 459-nucleotide long non-coding RNA. RefSeq lists it as uncharacterized. Lineage: Eukaryota; Metazoa; Arthropoda; Insecta; Lepidoptera; Cosmopterigidae. The transcript has 3 exons. The record is from RefSeq and is a predicted model, not a curated record.
UCUAACUUGAGGUGGCCAAGAUGGUUCGUUUACAAUUGGAAAAGAGUACACUCUUAGAAAGAAACACGAAAAGGCCAUAAAAAGGUUCCAUUUCAUAUACGACAGAUAUGUUGUUUAACGUAGCGAGUGAGGUGCCUACUCACAUACAAUGGCACAUUUAAUAUCCGGCCCCUCCUGUUUGACAUCUGCACGCAAAAACACCUUUUUUUAAAGCCACUGUCAACGCAAUACGAAUAACAGGACACGUUGAAUAAUGGACUGAAGGAGUAAAUGUAGAGUCAAGUUACAGGAAACUCUACCUACAAGAGUUACCCUACUUACAAGAAAAGAUGUCAAUUACGAGGUGCAUUGAAUCGCAACAACAUCGCUCGACAACGUGGUCGUGGUCAUACGGUAUGCUGAUGGAGACAAUGGAAUCUUCCGGUCCUUCGGUGGGGUACUGUACACAAAUGCAGGAUU